GAUGAACGCUGGCGUCGUGCCUAAUACAUGCAAGUCGAGCGAACAGACGAGGAGCUUGCUCCUCUGACGUUAGCGGCGGACGGGUGAGUAACACGUGGAUAACCUACCUAUAAGACUGGGAUAACUUCGGGAAACCGGAGCUAAUACCGGAUAAUAUAUUGAACCGCAUGGUUCAAUAGUGAAAGACGGUUUUGCUGCCACUUAUAGAUGGAUCCGCGCCGCAUUAGCUAGUUGGUAAGGUAACGGCUUACCAAGGCAACGAUGCGUAGCCGACCUGAGAGGGUGAUCGGCCACACUGGAACUGAGACACGGUCCAGACUCCUACGGGAGGCAGCAGUAGGGAAUCUUCCGCAAUGGGCGAAAGCCUGACGGAGCAACGCCGCGUGAGUGAUGAAGGUCUUCGGAUCGUAAAACUCUGUUAUUAGGGAAGAACAAAUGUGUAAGUAACUAUGCACGUCUUGACGGUACCUAAUCAGAAAGCCACGGCUAACUACGUG
RNAcentral lists this ribosomal RNA (497 nucleotides) under uncultured bacterium. RNAcentral describes it as "partial 16S ribosomal RNA". It matches the Rfam family "Bacterial small subunit ribosomal RNA", at positions 28 to 507 of the family's 1533-position model. The record is from RNAcentral.